Molecule: non-coding RNA, 84 nt
Filed under: Caldanaerobius fijiensis
Lineage: Bacteria; Bacillati; Bacillota; Clostridia; Thermoanaerobacterales; Thermoanaerobacteraceae
Also listed under: 1 other name
Description: c-di-GMP-II sequence
Rfam family: Cyclic di-GMP-II riboswitch aptamer
Source: RNAcentral
AUAAGUGUAGGGGAUGAUGAAGUAUGGCUUGUAUAUGGGCACUUGAGCCAUAUGGAGUCAAUAGUGCAACCGACCUACGCAUUA